RNAcentral lists this long non-coding RNA (497 nucleotides) under Bos indicus x Bos taurus (hybrid cattle). Its description in RNAcentral is "lncRNA (ENSBIXG00005016994.1)". Lineage: Eukaryota; Metazoa; Chordata; Mammalia; Artiodactyla; Bovidae. The record is from RNAcentral.
CGUAAUGAUUUCAAUCUUCCCGCUGUAUAAAUAAACAGUGUUGUUCAGGAGUUCUCCUUGGCUGCAGUUCUGGCCGGUAUGUCUCAAAGGCUUGCAGACGAUCCAGCUGGAAUUUUCAGCAAAGGCAAAGGAACUGACCUGGGAGAGUGACUACUGUGUGCCCUGCCUCCUUGGGAGACAUUUAAAUAGGUAAUCCCCGUAAGCCGUCCUCCCGACCCAGGAGUCAGUGUCGUCCCCCCCUCAACUUAGGAGGAGGUCGGGGUCCAGCGAUGGCAGGAAACGCACCGGGGAUCAGAGGCCAGGGCCCAGGGAAGUGAACUCAAGCGCCUGCAGCCCCCUUGCUGUCUCAGGAAAGUUUGAAAGUGGAGAAAUGUACCAAGAAAAUUAAAAUCACCUGUAUCCUUGCCACCCAGAAAAAGACACGCAAGAGAAGGAGACCAACCAGCUGUUCCCAGAUGGUGUGAACUUAGUGCAUGAAACUAGCGCGUCCAGGGCUC